Tyto alba (common barn owl) is the source of this 509-nucleotide long non-coding RNA. RefSeq lists it as uncharacterized. The transcript has 3 exons. The record is from RefSeq and is a predicted model, not a curated record. Lineage: Eukaryota; Metazoa; Chordata; Aves; Strigiformes; Tytonidae.
GAUUGUAUGAUCUACUUCUAAGCAGGAAGAAAUUCUACAAAAUAAGGAAAACAAAGUAGUUUGUCACGCUAGUGGAGAAAGGCCACGUCUAUGCAGUCCAACAGAGCAACGAUCCUUAGAUAAGUCUUAAGUGAGCCGAUCCCCAAGCCAGAGGAAAUAUCACCGUGGCCUGGAGCGGCCAGGCCUCCCUCAGCAAGGGCAGAGCCCUGUGCCUGAGAAACACCUUCAUCCACCUUCGCUUCCCCUCAGAGGAGUUUCCUGCUGGGGUGGAGGCUGCGACGCUUCCCGUCCCCCCGGCUCCCACAGCAGCACCAGCCCCUGCUCCACGCUCAGAGGCUUCGUGCUGGCACAGAGUCUCCAGCAAAGCCUAGCCUGGAGUACAAGGGACCUGCAGCACAUGUUUUCACUCGCCGACCAAGCAUGAAAAUUUCCCACCGCCUUUCACAGAGCAAAGAAGCUUUUACCGAAGUUGAGAAGGGCCCCAGAAUUCAAGGUCCUGGGGCCAGUGG